UUUAAGUAUUAUAUAUAUUUAAGUAUUAUUUUUAAAAGUAUAUAUAUUAUUGCGCCUUAUAUUUUAUCCUUGAAGCUGUCUUUGACGAUAUGAUUUAAUAUUCGUUAUGCGAAGACAUCAUCGGAAGAUUAUCUCCGAAUUGAAGAAUCAUCAAGAACCAACAUCUUGCGAAGAACCCCCAAUUAUUUUCUUCUUUUCAAAAAUUUUUCUUUAAACAGAUGAAGCCUUUGGAAAAGCGGAAAGAUACUGUUUCUUAGAGAGAAACUGUUUUGCUCACGAUUUUUCCGUGAGACGAAGGGCAAAUGCCAAAGCAGGGACUUGGAGAGUCCUCGUGAGGACGAUGGGCCUUAUAUUUCAUCCCUGAAGCUAUCUUUGACGAUGUUAUUUAAUAUUCGUUAUACGAAGACGUCAUCGGAAGAUUAUCUCCGAGCUGAAAAAUCAUCAAGAACCAACAUCUUGCAAAGAACCCCCAAUUAUUUUCUUCUUUUCAAACAUUUUUCUUUAAACAGAGAAGCCUUUGGAAAAGCAGAAAAAUAUUGUUUCUUAGAGAGAAACUGCUUUGCCCACGGUUUUUGAUCCGUGGUUUUUCCGUGGGACGAAGGGCGAAUGCCAAAGCAGGGACUUGAGGAGUCUUUAAGGACGAUGGGUCUACGGUAGAUACCCCUCUCCCCCUUGUCUGAAGAGUCUAAGAUGUAACAUCAAUAAAAUUCUGAUUCAUAGAAGAUGUUACGUUUACAACAAACGUUAUAUUAUGUAACAAUACUAAAGAAAUGGAACAAAUUGGAAAAAAAAGUUAAUAACGAAGACAAGAUUAUAUUUUUAUGAUUAAUACACUAAGAAAAGUAAGAAUGGAAAAGAUAACAAAUAUGAAAACAGCUAAAAGGAAAAUAUGUGUGCACAUAUGUUAUAAUAAAAAUUGGAAAAUAUUAAUACUCAGAAGAUGUCAUUGUCAUUGAUGAAGGAUAAAAAAAAUAAAAUUAAUGACUGAAGAAGAUCAACAUAUAAUGAAGAUAAAAUUAAAUUCUUCAAAAUUAAUACCAUACAAAAUGCAACAAACGAAGAUAUUAAAAAACAGAUAUAAAAAUUUUUUUUCCUUUAUAGAAACUGCUGUCCUUGCCUUUAAAAUUAAGACAUAAACACAAUAAUAACACAAUGUAAAAUUUAUAUUGUAACAUUAAUGACGUACAGUUGUAGCUAUAGAUGGAGAGCAGUAGUCAGGUACAGGCCAUUGGAAGAUCAAACCAACAGUCAAUUGAAGAUUCUUCAAUAAUGCCCUACCUAUGGACAGCACAGGCUGAUGUAGGAAGCCAUUCUGGAUUUAAAAAAAAGUAUAUAAUCAA
Molecule: long non-coding RNA, 1340 nt
Organism: Camponotus floridanus (Florida carpenter ant)
Lineage: Eukaryota; Metazoa; Arthropoda; Insecta; Hymenoptera; Formicidae
Exons: 4
Source: RefSeq, a predicted model, not a curated record